ACUCAAAGGAAUAGACGGGGGCCCGCACAAGCGGUGGAGUAUGUGGUUUAAUUCGAAGCAACGCGAAGAACCUUACCUGGGCUUGACAUCCUGUGAAUACCGUAGAGAUACGGGGCACUCGCAAGAGACACAGAGACAGGUGCUGCAUGGCUGUCGUCAGCUCGUGUCGUGAGAUGUUGGGUUAAGUCCCGCAACGAGCGCAACCCUUGUCCUUAGUUGCCAUCAUUCAGUUGGGCACUUUAAGGAGACUGCCGGUGAUAAACCGGAGGAAGGUGGGGAUGACGUCAAGUCCUCAUGGCCCUUACGUCCAGGGCUACACACGUACUACAAUGGCCAAAACAAAGCGACGCAAAGCCGCAAGGCAGAGCCAAACGCAAAAACAUGGUCUCAGUUCGGAUUGUGGUCUGCAACUCGACCACAUGAAGUUGGAAUCGCUAGUAAUCGCAGAUCAGCAAGCUGCGGUGAAUACGUUCCCGGGCCUUGUACACACCGCCCGU
This 497-nucleotide ribosomal RNA is filed under the name uncultured bacterium. RNAcentral describes it as "partial 16S ribosomal RNA". It matches the Rfam family "Bacterial small subunit ribosomal RNA", at positions 899 to 1397 of the family's 1533-position model. The record is from RNAcentral.